Molecule: ribosomal RNA, 352 nt
Filed under: uncultured bacterium
Lineage: Bacteria
Description: bacterial SSU rRNA
Rfam family: Bacterial small subunit ribosomal RNA
Source: RNAcentral
GGGCCCGCACAAGCGGUGGAGCAUGUGGUUUAAUUCGAUGAUACGCGAGGAACCUUACCAGGGCUUAAAUGUAGGAUGCAUUAGCUAGAGAUAGCUAUUUCUUCGGACUUCUUACAAGGUGCUGCAUGGUUGUCGUCAGCUCGUGCCGUGAGGUGUCAGGUUAAGUCCUAUAACGAGCGCAACCCCUGUCGUUAGUUGCCAGCAUGUAAAGAUGGGGACUCUAACGAGACUGCCGGUGUAAACCGCGAGGAAGGUGGGGAUGACGUCAAAUCAUCACGGCCCUUACGUCCUGGCUAGCACACGUGCUACAAUGGUAUGGACAAUGAGCAGCCACUAUGCGAUGGGGCGCAAA